AGCGGCGAACGGGUGAGUAACACGUGAGUAAUCUGCCCUUCACUCUGGGAUAACGUUCAGAAAUGGAUGCUAAUACCGGAUUUACACAUGGUCUCGCAUGGGGUUGUGUGGAAAGGUUUUCUGGUGGGGGAUGUGCUCGCGGCCUAUCAGCUUGUUGGUGGGGUAAUGGCCUACCAAGGCUUUGACGGGUAGCCGGCCUGAGAGGGUGACCGGCCACACUGGGACUGAGACACGGCCCAGACUCCUACGGGAGGCAGCAGUGGGGAAUAUUGGACAAUGGGCGGAAGCCUGAUCCAGCAACGCCGCGUGAGGGAUGACGGCCUUCGGGUUGUAAACCUCUUUCACCAUUGACGAAGCUGCAUCUUUUUGGGUGUGGUGACGGUAGGUGGGGAAGAAGCACCGGCCAACUACGUGCCAGCAGCCGCGGUAAUACGUAGGGUGCGAGCGUUGUCCGGAAUUAUUGGGCGUAAAGGGCUCGUAGGCGGUUUGUCGCGUCGGGAGUGAAAACCUUGGGCUUAACUCAGGGCUUGCUUUCGAUACGGGCAGACUAGAGGUAUGCAGGGGAGAACGGAAUUCCUGGUGUAGCGGUGGAAUGCGCAGAUAUCAGGAGGAACACCGGUGGCGAAGGCGGUUCUCUGGGCAUUACCUGACGCUGAGGAGCGAAAGUGUGGGGAGCGAACAGGAUUAGAUACCCUGGUAGUCCACACCGUAAACGUUGGGCGCUAGGUGUGGGACUCAUUCCACGAGUUCCGUGCCGCAGCUAACGCAUUAAGC
Molecule: ribosomal RNA, 774 nt
Filed under: uncultured bacterium
Lineage: Bacteria
Description: bacterial SSU rRNA
Rfam family: Bacterial small subunit ribosomal RNA
Source: RNAcentral